RNAcentral lists this ribosomal RNA (252 nucleotides) under uncultured bacterium. Its description in RNAcentral is "partial 16S ribosomal RNA". It matches the Rfam family "Bacterial small subunit ribosomal RNA", at positions 524 to 776 of the family's 1533-position model. The record is from RNAcentral.
UACGGAAGGUCCAGGCGUUAUCCGGAUUUAUUGGGUUUAAAGGGAGCGUAGGCGGAUUGUUAAGUCAGCGGUUAAAGGGUGUGGCUCAACCAUGCAUUGCCGUUGAAACUGGCGAUCUUGAGUGCAGACAGGGAUGCCGGAAUUCGUGGUGUAGCGGUGAAAUGCUUAGAUAUCACGAAGAACUCCGAUCGCGAAGGCAGGUGUCCGGGGUGUAACUGACGCUGAGGCUCGAAAGUGUGGGUAUCAAACAGG